RNAcentral lists this ribosomal RNA (200 nucleotides) under Pestalotiopsis sp. Y4-23. RNAcentral's name for it is "partial 28S ribosomal RNA". The stretch from base 143 to 200 matches the Rfam family "Eukaryotic large subunit ribosomal RNA", at positions 1 to 58 of the family's 3401-position model. The record is from RNAcentral. Lineage: Eukaryota; Fungi; Ascomycota; Sordariomycetes; Amphisphaeriales; Sporocadaceae.
AGUGUUGGGAAUCUACUUCUUUAUAGUUGUAGUUCCUGAAAUACAACGGCGGAUUUGUAGUAUCCUCUGAGCGUAGUAAUUUUUUUCUCGCUUUUGUUAGGUGCUAUAACUCCCAGCCGCUAAACCCCCAAUUUUUUGUGGUUGACCUCGGAUCAGGUAGGAAUACCCGCUGAACUUAAGCAUAUCAAUAGGCGGAGGAA